This is a long non-coding RNA of Astatotilapia calliptera (eastern happy), 271 nucleotides long. NCBI's taxonomy places the organism in Eukaryota, Metazoa, Chordata, Actinopteri, Cichliformes, Cichlidae. The record is from Ensembl.
AAACUCCACACCAGGAAUGAAACCUUUUUUUAAAGCAGACUGUAAAACUGUCCUUUCAGGAAGUUGAAGUGAGAGUCUGUGGGGAUCAACUCAUUUUUGAUGUGGCUCCAUUUUUUGUUUUUUCUUCUGUGUUGAAUUUUUUUCUUCAUCCUGGAACUUUUUGUGCACCAGAAGUGGGCAAAUAUGCAAAAUAAUGAUGCAACCAAACAGACUAAACAACCAAUCACUGCAUAUAACAUCAUUUGGGAUUAUCCAAUCUAACUCCAAACCU